RNAcentral lists this ribosomal RNA (254 nucleotides) under uncultured bacterium. RNAcentral describes it as "partial 16S ribosomal RNA". It matches the Rfam family "Bacterial small subunit ribosomal RNA", at positions 524 to 776 of the family's 1533-position model. The record is from RNAcentral.
UACGUAGGGGGCAAGCGUUGUCCGGAUUUAUUGGGCGUAAAGAGCUCGUAGGUGGUUCGGUAAGUCGGAUGUGAAAUCUCCAGGCUCAACCUGGAGGGGUCAUUCGAUACUGCCGUGACUAGAGGUCGGUAGGGGAGUGUGGAAUUCCUGGUGGAGCGGUGAAAUGCGCAGAUAUCAGGAGGAACACCCGUAGCGAAGGCGGCACUCUGGGCCGAUACUGACACUGAGGAGCGAAAGCGAGGGGAGCGAACAGG